RNAcentral lists this long non-coding RNA (286 nucleotides) under Malus domestica (apple). RNAcentral describes it as "long non-coding RNA (MDOM_LNC014879)". Lineage: Eukaryota; Viridiplantae; Streptophyta; Magnoliopsida; Rosales; Rosaceae. The record is from RNAcentral.
UGGACGAAAAUAAUUAAAUUAAGACAAGAACAAAGUAAACAAAUUCUUAGACAAAUUUAAAUGAAUCAAAACAGAUUGUAAAAUGAAUUUGAAUGAAACUUAUGGAUGGAAGGCUAGCUAGGAGGUUCUUCUCCACACAUGUCACACUUGCAUACAAAACGAUUUCCAGUUGCUUUUCGAUAAGCUAUGAAUACUCAACGCCCCAAAUUAACCAUGAAUUGCACUAAUUAACCCUCAGUUUUUCCACAAGUUAUUGGAUUGGAUGAUUGCAUACGACAACCCAAAA